CUGCCAGAAAGUGAGAGAAAUAAAAAAAAUACCCAUAAUGCACUGCAGCACAAGCAGCUAAUAAGAACUGUUUAUAGUUAAUAGUUUCAGGGUAUUUGUACUUCUAAAUUAUACUUAGAGAUUGAUAAAUGUACUGUAAAAGUGUCUUUGUGAGAUUGUACUAUAAAAUUUAAUGUCUACAUAUUUGUAAGACAAAGUAUUAGUAUUUAAAACAGGCUGCUGUUCAUGAUCUUUCUAUAUGUAUGUCUAUAUAGUCUCCAUUAUGAGGAUCUCUGCCUCUCAGACCAGGGGCUAGUUGCAUAAACUUAGCCACCAUUUUAAGACUGUUUCUUAAGAACUAGUUUGACCAACUAGCAGUUGCCAAGGGGUAAUUAGUCUUACUUUUCCAAUACAAAUAAGACCAAUCUACCUUUUCAUAACUGAAUUAAAAAAGUUAUGGCCAAUCUUGAAGAAAAAAAAAAAAUUAAUUAGAUGGCUAACUUUUCAAGACUUAUCUAAACAGUUUAUGCAACCGGCCCCAGGUCUGGUGUUUGCAAUCGAUACAUAAUCUGGGUCUGUUUAGACUCUGUCUCAUCCAUCAUCCAGCUAUCCUCAUCCUCUAGCACUCGGGUCCCCGGCCUCAGGAGGGGACCCCAGACAGCUGUGGGCGGUUUAUUAGGCCAUGAGAUGACUGGGAACUUCCAGACAGGGUGUGUGAGCACAAACCAGGGUCGAUCUGAUGCAUGGGGAAAAGAGAGGGAGGACAAAUUCUCCUGUGUCUUAUUUGCUCUGGAACCAUCAGGAUGCUGAGAAUAAAACAAACACAGUUGGCCUUCCCUCAGGGACAAUUGACAAUGUCUUACUGCUCAGUUGGACGCUUCGGCUUUACGGAGAUCAUGAGAUUGUGAGGAUGCAUGAGCUUCUCACUUUUCAAAAGUAAGAAUUAUGUAAUCUUCUAUAAUCGCUCUGACUGUUUACAGAGCUGCAAUCGGCAAGCAUGAAUAAAUAAAACCACCCAGGCACUUUUCAAAGAGGAUCCUCAUUUGCUGGUUGGACGGCUGAUGGUUGUAAUUUUGCCUUUUUAGCAUUUUAAUCAUGAGCCGACCAGAAAUGAGAUGACAAUCAGCAUUUGGGGUUUGAAAAAGGCAUAAUGUAAACUUAUUUAUAUAGAGAUGCACAGAGUUAAAUAAGAAUGAUUUUAAAUUAGCUUUUCCAUUUUCAUCUGAGAGAAAUCACAGAGACAUAAAUAACAUUCACGAGAGUCUGUGCUGCACAAAUUAAGAUGCAUCAAAGCUUGGCGAAUUCAACAGUAUCCAAAAAUGAAAAUCGGCUGAAAAUGUAUUCUCAGACCAUCCAAGAUGUAGAUGAUUUUGUUUCUUCAUCGGAACAAAUUUGGAGAAAUUUAGCAUUAAAUCACUUGCUCACCAAUGGAUCCUCUGUAGUGAAUGGGUGCCAUCAGAAUUAGAGUCCAAACAGCUGAUAAAAACAUCACAAUAAUCCAUAAGUAAACCACAUGACUGCAGUCCAUCAAUUAACAUCUUACGAGGCAAAUGUCUGUAAUAAAUUCAUCAAGAAGUUUUAACUCCUAACCAUUGCUUUUGACUAAAAUAUGAGUCAUCUAUCCAUACUAUUGGUUGCUUGAAUGAAAAGAUCAUCUCGUUUGAAUCAGGAGAGAAAUAUGCACAAAUUAAGCACCAUUUACAGUCAAAAACAGUUCAAAACUAUUCUAAACAAAUAUGUUGGUGGACUUUGAUGUGAGGGGACAAUAGGAGAUGAACUGUUUCACUGUAUGAAGCGUUAUUAUGAAUUAUGGAAAGUUUAAAGUUGAUGGUAUUGUUUCUUACAAUUUUUUUUUUCACUUCAAAGAACAUUAAUUUAUUGAGUCAUCGUGUGGAUUAUUUAUGGAUUAUUGUGAUGUUUUUAGCAGCUGUUUGGACUUUGAUUCUGAUGGCACCCAUUGUUAAAUACUAAAUAAUUACUGAUUAUAAUGACUUAUACGGUCUUUUUACACGUUGUGUUGCGUAUCAUGCUGCGCAAACAUAAAACCAUGUCUGCAUUUGUGAUCUGAGAAACAACAAACAACAAGCCUACUCUACUGCUCAAAACUUGCGUUUGAAUCAUCAUUGGC
Cyprinus carpio carpio is the source of this 2107-nucleotide long non-coding RNA. The record is from Ensembl. Lineage: Eukaryota; Metazoa; Chordata; Actinopteri; Cypriniformes; Cyprinidae.